GACGAACGCUGGCGGCGUGCUUAACACAUGCAAGUCGAACGGUGAACCUCUUCGGAGGGGAUCAGUGGCGAACGGGUGAGUAACACGUGGGCAACCUGCCCCCGGCUCUGGGAUAACUCCAAGAAAUUGGGGCUAAUACCGGAUGUUCACCGCUUCCCGCAUGGGUGGUGGUGGAAAGGGUUUCCGGCUGGGGAUGGGCCCGCGGCCUAUCAACUUGUUGGUGGGGUAGUGGCCUACCAAGGCGACGACGGGUAGCCGGCCUGAGAGGGUGACCGGCCACACUGGGACUGAGACACGGCCCAGACUCCUACGGGAGGCAGCAGUGGGGAAUAUUGCGCAAUGGGCGGAAGCCUGACGCAGCGACGCCGCGUGGGGGAUGACGGCCUUCGGGUUGUAAACCUCUUUCAGCAGGGACGAAGCGCAAGUGACGGUACCUGCAGAAGAAGCACCGGCCAACUACGUG
Molecule: ribosomal RNA, 463 nt
Filed under: uncultured bacterium
Lineage: Bacteria
Description: partial 16S ribosomal RNA
Rfam family: Bacterial small subunit ribosomal RNA
Source: RNAcentral